Molecule: long non-coding RNA, 2542 nt
Organism: Cuculus canorus (common cuckoo)
Lineage: Eukaryota; Metazoa; Chordata; Aves; Cuculiformes; Cuculidae
Exons: 3
Source: RefSeq, a predicted model, not a curated record
UGCAAAAUUAUUUUGGCUUGGUUAAAGGUCUCUUUCAGGCUGCUGCUCGCUCUCGCGCACCUCCCUGCCGGCCACCCCAGGCCUGAGCGGCGGCCACGCGGCAUCGGGCACAUCUGUGUUGGGAAGCGGAGACUUUGGUGUUGUGGAAGGGUACCACGAGAUCUCCAAAUUCCAGCUCUCGGUCUGCAGCCUGGAGGAGAGAGGCAAAGCGGCAACUGCAUCACCACACGCCACGGGGAUGUCAGGGUGAAUCUGUUUCACUGACAACAAGAUUGUUCUGUCUAGACGGUGAAGCGCUGCUGAACGGAGUGAGUCUGCGGAAUAAUUUAAAGCCAAAAUACUUUACAGGCAUUAAAUUUAAAACAAAAAGUGGCUUGGCACAGAUGAUGCCUGAUGGAUGGCUCGUAGGGGGGCGGGGAGGCGGCUGGCUUUGAGACAGAGCUCGGUGGUGGUGACCGACAGAUGUCCCUCAGUGUCACCCUGUAGCUGUCGGCCUGUCGCCUCUCCCAGAUAAGUUCUUCCCCAGCAGUGGAGGUGUCUGGGUGACCCCAUGGAGCUCAGCGCAGAGCUCCUGUGCAGUACCUUGGAUCUGGCGUGAAUUUCGCUGCUCCCAGCAGGCUGCCCGGCUUCUCAGGCCUUGUCCCCGCUGUGCCGCCACCUCUGCAGCCACCCCACGGCCUGACUGGGCGAUGCGGGAGCAGAAGGGCUUGUGCGGAGGGUGUCCGAGCCCCGUAUUCCCCAUCUGCCCGCGGGGGUGGCAGCCGGGGCUGCCUGAGGCGGAGAUGUGCUGUCGAGAUUGCGGCCCGGAUGGCAUAAGGAAUGUACUUUCUUCUGGCAGAAAGAUGAAACACUAAAAGCAUAGCUCAAAGGCUGGAAUACAUAUAUCUUUUCCCUUUCUGAGGAGGGCUUCUGCUCAGCAGUGCUUCGGUGUUGCCGCGAGCCAGCAGCCGCUUGGAGCAGGAGGGAUGGCAGCCGUCCGAGAGCAGGGGGUGAGGCUGAAGCAAGGAAGGAAGAAGGGAAGCACAUCUCGGGCGGGCUGGCCUCCGGGCUCAGGAUGAACGCUGAAGCUUCAGCUCCACCGUAGCGUUUAGGACUUGUGCUUUAGUCUUGUUUGGCUCCUGUUCAAUGACGAGAAAGAAAACCUUUUUGUCUCUGCCUCUACAGGUGAGGGCAGUGCCCCUCUGAAGCAGGAGGGCACCUUCACGUUGACCCCUCUCCUUGGAUUGAGGAGGAUACAAGAGGGGAGGAGCAGAGGGCUCAACCAAGGCAUCUCUUGCCUACCUCCCUCUGGAGACGUCCCGCUGGCUCCCAGUUUGCCAUUUCUGGCAUCUUGCUGAGUCCAAGCGUCCCCAAGAAUCCCUGGUGACUUUCUGAAGUGGAGAUGGGGAUCUGGACCAGAUUCAGAGGAAAGAGGAAGAGGCAAAUUCAGUGCAGUGGGGAGAGAACCCAGAACGCUCUUAACUUUACACCUCUACAACCCUGGCUGUGAAUGCUACUUAUUGGCUGAUCAAGGAGGUACCCGAACAAAACAUGCGGGGGGGACAGUCACUCGCUCGGGGUCACGGAAUGGGUGAGCACUGAAAUGCAGUUUGACCUCAACUCCGAUUACAGCCACUGCCUUGCGCCUUGAUACCCGUCUGCCCUCCGGUGGGGUGGGGACAGGCAGCAGAAGGGGGCCCUGAUGUCCUGUGCCCCCCCAAGCCUUGCCUUACGCAUUCCCCCACCUGCCCCCCUGCUGCUGCCUCCUGAAAGACCCUGUGAUUAAUUAUACUGCUCCACGGCCUCUGAAAAUUUAUUUAGGGUUUUAUGUUUGCCGCUGCGGCUCUUACACAAUGGCAAAUCUGCCGUGGCUGCGUCCCAAGCAGGUGGCAGCUAAUAGGUCAAUAAAGUGAAUCGCACCAUUAGAGCUGUCGAGCUGGGCUGCCAGGAGCCAGGCAGGUAGAGGGGAAAGCUGCGGAGAAGUCAAGACAGAUCUGCUUUAGCAGAAAUACAUUUAGCUAUGCUGGCUUGAAGGAAAUUGCUCGCUUCCCUGAUAGCAUCCACCACUUGAAUAGAUUGAUUUUUCCACUAUAGUUUGUCUAGCUUAAGCUUUCUUCUCCCUGCAUCCCAUGCUCUCCUAAACAUUAGUCGAACAGGGCCUUUUCAUCUCUGAGACCUUUCAAAGUUAUUUUCCUUAAAGAUUUUCAUGGCCUUUUCCUUGGAGUGUGGAGAAAAGGGGACUGGGGGCGACUGUCAGCUGGAGGAAAUGGGCGGCUGCAGACCACAAAAUAGAUACCCCAGAAAUGCUGCUACGGGCAUGCAGAAAUCAGCCCGACUUGAAAUAGGUGGUAACCACCCCAGCAGCUCUAGAAAUGGCCUUGGCCCCCGAGCAUCGUGCUUAGAGCCAAAGGGUCGGUGAUGGACAGAUAAAACAGGGCUGUACCCGUGCGACACCCUCACCCUGCACAGGGUCUCUGCUCCCGCCUGGAAGGCAGCAGGCUCGUUUGUACCUGCUGCUAAUUUAUAUGCAGUGGGAAUCUGUUCCCAGUCGCCUGGUGCGGAG